This 274-nucleotide ribosomal RNA is filed under the name uncultured Pseudomonas sp. Its description in RNAcentral is "partial 16S ribosomal RNA". It matches the Rfam family "Bacterial small subunit ribosomal RNA", at positions 1107 to 1382 of the family's 1533-position model. Lineage: Bacteria; Pseudomonadati; Pseudomonadota; Gammaproteobacteria; Pseudomonadales; Pseudomonadaceae. The record is from RNAcentral.
GUCCUUAGUUACCAGCACGUUAUGGUGGGCACUCUAAGGAGACUGCCGGUGCAACCGGAGGAAGUGGGGAUGACGUCAAGUCAUCAUGGCCCUUACGGCCUGGGCUACACACGUGCUACAAUGGUCGGUACAAAGGGUUGCCAAGCCGCGAGGUGGAGCUAAGUCCCAUAAAACCGAUCGUAGUCCGGAUCGCAGUCUGCAACUCGACUGCGUGAAGUCGGAAUCGCUAGUAAUCGUGAAUCAGAAUGUCACGGUGAAUACGUUCCCGGGCCUU